This is a long non-coding RNA of Vespula vulgaris, 1145 nucleotides long. RefSeq lists it as uncharacterized. Lineage: Eukaryota; Metazoa; Arthropoda; Insecta; Hymenoptera; Vespidae. The transcript is spliced from 2 exons. The record is from RefSeq and is a predicted model, not a curated record.
UCAUUCAUAUCGCUAUGUUUAUCUUUCUAUUUAUUAUUUCAUUGUAAAUAGACGUUUGUCUUCGAUCUAAUUAAUUUGUUUCCUUCCUUAUUAGAAAAUUUCUAAUUUGUAUAAUUUACGUGUAAAUAUGGUAAUUUUAAGAAUGAAAUUAUCGAUUCAAUCGGGUUGAGAAUGAAAAUCACGAAAGUAGAAAACGUAUUUGGCUCAAACUGAUUUGUUUAUCUAGCAAUAUCCCUCAACUUGGCUGAUUCGCGCUUACUACGGAAUUUCUAGUAAGGUGUGCCGGUGCUUGCUAUGCGACCAGAAUGAUUUCUUUCCGUGAAAGUCCCCGCGGAGCUCGCUCACGUUCCGAAUCUAGCCGGUGAAACGAAAAGCAUUUGAACUCGCGGAAUGUAACACCGAGGGAACUAAGUACGUGAAAAUCAUGAAAGUAAAAGACAAACGAAAUCGAGCACGCUCGAUCUUCGACAAUGGCCGACUGAUGCAGACACUUUCAUCGCAAGUAAGACGGUGCAAGACGAUGCCGUUCUACGUGCAUAUGUAUGUUUGUACUGUGUAUGUAUAAUUCAAGAGAAAAAGUUACGAUGGAUGAAGUAAGGGAAAAAGAAAAACCAAAAGAAAACUGUAUCGUGAUUAAUUCAUCGAUAAGAAAGAAUUAAAAAGAGCAACGAUAAGAACGAUUAUUUUAUUAUUUAAUUAAAACAAGGAAAUAGGAAAAAAUUAAAAUAAUAUUCAAGGAAUAAAUAACAGCGUAAAUGUCUUCCGAUUGAAAUGCUAAGGUACUUAUCCUUAUAAAUAAACAGAAAGGAUAAUUGCGCGAAAUUAAAGCGCAAUUAAUUGCUAGGAUUAUGCCUGCACGAUCUUGGCAAAACGUAGGAGGAUUAUAUCACGCUUGAAGACUUCGCUACGCUUGGUAGCAGUCUCUUCUCUUUAUCUUGUCGAACACUUCGCAUCUUCCGAAACUAUCUUCAUCUACGAUUACUCGAGAAGCGCAGAGCUGGAUCGUAAAGUCUAGGAACGAACCGUUCCAGGAUGCAUCACGAGGGUUCAAACAUGGUUAUGAAAAUGCAUCAACCUUGGUCAUGAUCAUCUUAGAAAAAAAAACAAUAUAUAUAUAUAUAUAUAUAUAUAUAUAUAUAUAUAUA